UCACGUCUGCCAGCCCAGAAGGGGAUUAACUUUCACCUGCGGUGGCAUGGCCCUGAACCGAUAGUAAGGAGAACUGAACGGGAGAGUGCCUCCCAGGAUCUUCGCAUCCCCAAGAACGGAUCUUCGUUUCCGUAAGCAGGAGCUCUGUGCUGGUGCCAAUCCAGUGCCACCGGACCGGUGAACCAACCACCACCGCACCUCCCUCUUCCUUUCUCCUCCCCCCUUGUUAAUGUACAUCCCACCUUGUUAAUUGAAAUCAAAUAAAACUGAUCGCAGAUUGCUCUUCAGAAUUAGAUGCAAAACCCAACAUUCAUGUUUACAUAAGAAUAGUGCAGAAAUGCGGAUUAAUAAUUCCCCUAUACAUAUCAUGUCAUGCUAAAUAACUGUAUACAUAUGCAGAUAUUGACUUACGAAAUUCACCAACAAAUCAUGAUAUAGUCUUACAUUUAACAAAAUGGUAAAAAAAUAGCAUCAAUCAUAGCCAAUAGCAAUAUAAUAAAUUCUUGUGAAUGAUAGUUUGGCUAUACAUGGAAACCUAAGAUCAGAUUAACUCGUGACGGAAGAAGGCGUUGUAGCAACAUAAUAAUUAAAAUCCAUCGGAAGAAUAUUUCUGAAAUUACACACUAUGCACAAGCAUAUGUAAAAAGGAUCACUAAACAUCAUGAUCUAGUAAAAGUACAUGAGAGAAAAAAACUGAAAAAAUAACAGUCAAUUAUUUUAUAGAACUUCCCUUUGUUCUUCGGAACAAAUGGUAACAAUCAUGAUGCCAUAUUAGAGCUUAUUCAGGACAUCUUUUUUUACUAAAGGGAGUAGUAUGUUUCUGUUUCAGCAAAAGUGUCAAACUACGUCUACACAUUUUACGUACAAUUAUCUCUGUCAUCUGGACCUACACUGCUAUGCACCUCAUUAAAAUCCUAUCCAUCAAAAUUUAUGCCAUUAACAAAAUCUAGGACUUGGGUGUCAAUGGCUAAAAAGCAGUUUCGCUAAGUCCUCAGUGGUGUUGCACCAAGAAUAUGGUGGAGUGCUUGAAUCCGUCAUCAGCGUCAACUAUCAAAGUUAGACACUGGUCACCAGUCAUGCACUGCCUCCCAUUCAGAACAUAGUGAGGAUAAGCAGGCCAGACACGAAGUCUGCGGCAGUGGCCAUGAGGGCGACGAUCGGGUGCCCAUGGUGCAGCGCCGAGCUACAGAACACUCCCACGACCUUGCCGCAUCCAGCGGAGAGGGAGCACCGGUAGCAGCUUGUAGGGAUAGACGUGCUCGUGGCCGGGGAUCACCCGGGAAAGCGUUGGUUGGAGGUGCCUGCCGCUUCAGUUGCUUAUAGGAAGGAAUGUACAUGACAAACUUGCUACCGCUGAAGAAUCAUAUGAAUCAACCUAUGUGUUUUCAAGACGUAUGAAACACACGAAAAGACUGAGCCUUCACGUGAAGUUUGCAGGUUUGCAUCAACAAGAGAGAAAUAAGAGGAAUUAGAUUAAUAAGAGUACUAAACAGGGUGGCGGCCGCCAAGGAGCGAAUUGAUCAUCUCACCUUGACGCAAUAGCUUGGUGCAAGUUGGUGGCACUUCUGUAGGUAGUAUUGACUGCGCCACCAAUGCCAAUCCCGUGAAAGCCAGCCUGAAUGAAAGGCACAAGAGGAAACCAGAGACACUAAAUAAGAACAGUCGUCCAUCUAAUGAAGACCUGACCAAACAAAAUCGAAUCUCUGUGUCAGCUUUCUUANNNNNNNNNNNNNNNNNNNNNNNNNNNNNNNNNNNNNNNNNNNNNNNNNNNNNNNNNNNNNNNNNNNNNNNNNNNNNNNNNNNNNNNNNNNNNNNNNNNNCAUGUCACGCCUGCCGGCCCAGAAGGGGAUUAACUUUCACCUGCUGUGGCAUGGCCCUGAACCGAUAGCAAGGAGAACUGAACGGGAGAGUGCCUCCCUGGAUCUUCGCAUCCCCAAGAACGGAUCGUCGUUUCCGUAAGCAGGAGCUCUGUGCUGGUGCCAAUCCAGUGCCACCGGACCGGUGAACCAACCACCACCGCACCUCCCUCUUCCUUUCUCCUCCCCCCCUUGUUAAUGUACAUCCCACCUUGUUAAUCGAAAUCAAAUAAAACUGAUCGCAGAUUGCUCUUCAGAAUUAGAUGCAAAGCCCAGCAUUCAUGUUUACAUAAGAAUAGUGCAGAAAUGCGGAUUAAUAAUUCCCCUAUACAUAUCAUGUCAUGCUAAAUAACUGUAUACAUAUGCAGAUAUUGACUUACGAAAUUCACCAACAAAUCAUGAUAUAGUCUUACAUUUAACAAAAUGGUAAAAGAUAGCAUCAAUCAUAGCUAAUAGCAAUAUAAUAAAUUCUUGUGAAUGAUAGUUUGGCUAUACAUGGAAACCUAAGAUCAGAUUAACUCGUGACGGAAGAAGGCGUUGUAGCAACAUAAUAAUUAAAAUCCAUCGGAAGAAUAUUUCUGAAAUUACACACUAUGCACAAGCAUAUGGAAAAAGGAUCACUAAACAUCAUGAUCUAGUAAAAGUACAUGAGAGAAAAAACUGAAAAAAUAACAGUCAAUUAUUUUAUAGAACUUCCCUUUGUUCUUCAAAACAAAUGGUAACAAUCAUGAUGCCAUAUUAGAGCUUAUUCAGGACAUCUUUUUUUACUAAAGGGAGUAGUAUGUUUCAGCAAAAGUGUCAAACUAUGUCUACACAUUUUACAUACAAUUAUCUCUGUCAUCUGGACCUACACUGCUCUGCACCUCAUUAAAAUCCUAUCCAUCAAAAUUUAUGCCAUUAACAAAAUCUAGGACUUGGGUGUUAAUGGCUAAAAAGCAGUUUCGCUAAGUCCUCAGUGGUGUUGCACCAAGAAUAUGGUGGAGUGCUUGAAUCCGUCAUCAGCGUCAACUAUCAAAGUUAGACACUGGUCACCAGUCAUGCACUGCCUCCCAUUCACAACAUAGUGAGGAUAAGCAGGCCAGACACGAAGUCUGCGGCAGUGGCCAUGAGGGCGAUGAUCGGGUGCCCAUGGUGCAGCGCCGAGCUACAGAACACUCCCACGACCUUGCCGCAUCCAGCGGAGAGGGAGCACCGGUAGCAGCUUGUAGGGAUAGACGUGCUCGUGGCCAGGGAUCACCCGGGAAAGCGUUGGUUGGAGGUUCCUGCCGCUUCAGUUGCUUAUAGGAAGGAAUGUACAUGACAAACUUGCUACCGCUGAAGAAUCAUAUGAAUCAACCUAUGUGUUUUCAAGACGUAUGAAACACACGAAAAGACUGAGCCUUCACAUGAAGUUUGCAGGUUUGCAUCAACAAGAGAGAAAUAAGAGGAAUUAGAUUAAUAAGAGUACUAAACAGGGUGGCGGCCGCCAAGGAGCGAAUUGAUCAUCUCACCUUGACGCAAUAGCUUGGUGCAGAUUGGUGGCACUUCUGUAGGUAGUAUUGACUGCGCCACCAAUGCCAAUCCCGUGAAAGCCAGCCUGAAUGAAAGGCACAAGAGGAAACCAGAGACACUAAAUAAGAAC
This 3477-nucleotide long non-coding RNA is filed under the name Triticum aestivum (bread wheat). RNAcentral describes it as "long non-coding RNA (TAES_LNC007055)". Lineage: Eukaryota; Viridiplantae; Streptophyta; Magnoliopsida; Poales; Poaceae. The record is from RNAcentral.